RNAcentral lists this ribosomal RNA (496 nucleotides) under uncultured bacterium. RNAcentral's name for it is "partial 16S ribosomal RNA". It matches the Rfam family "Bacterial small subunit ribosomal RNA", at positions 29 to 523 of the family's 1533-position model. The record is from RNAcentral.
AUUGAACGCUGGCGGCAUGCUUUACACAUGCAAGUCGAACGGUAGAGGGGGCAACCCCUUGAGAGUGGCGAACGGGUGAGUAAUGCAUCGGAACGUGCCCAGUCGUGGGGGAUAGCCCGGGGAAACCCGGAUUAAUACCGCAUACGACCUGAGGGUGAAAGCGGGGGACCGAAAGGCCCCGCGCGAGUGGAGCGGGCGAUGUCGGAUUAGGUAGUUGGUGGGGUAAAGGCCUACCAAGCCUGCGAUCCGUAGCUGGUCUGAGAGGACGACCAGCCACACUGGGACUGAGACACGGCCUAGACUCCUACGGGAGGCAGCAGUGGGGAAUUUUGGACAAUGGGCGCAAGCCUGAUCCAGCCAUGCCGCGUGCGGGAAGAAGGCCUUCGGGUUGUAAACCGCUUUUGUCAGGGAAGGAAUCCUUUGGACUAAUACUCUGGGGGGAUGACGGUACCUGAAGAAUAAGCACCGGCUAACUACGUGCCAGCCGCCGCGGUAA